RNAcentral lists this ribosomal RNA (216 nucleotides) under Glomeromycotina sp. Its description in RNAcentral is "partial small subunit ribosomal RNA". The stretch from base 40 to 216 matches the Rfam family "Eukaryotic small subunit ribosomal RNA", at positions 686 to 864 of the family's 1831-position model. Lineage: Eukaryota; Fungi; Glomeromycota. The record is from RNAcentral.
GCGUCAGUAGGUUGGUCGUGCCACCGGUACGUACUGGUCUCACUGAUUCCUCCUUCCUGAAGUACCGUAAUGCCAUUAAUUUGGUGUUGCGGGGAAACAGGACUGUUACUUUGAAAAAAUUAGAGUGUUUAAAGCAAGCUAACGCUUGAAUACAUUAGCAUGGAAUAAUGAAAUAGGACGAUCGAUCCUAUUUUGUUGGUUUCUAGGAUUGACGUA